CCUCGGGGGGCAGCAGUGGGGAAUAUUGCACAAUGGGGGAAACCCUGAUGCAGCGACGCCGCGUGAGUGAAGAAGUAUUUCGGUACGUAAAGCUCUAUCAGCAGGGAAGAAAAAAGUCCUUUGGACUUUGGACGGUACCUGACCAAGAAGCCCCGGCUAACUACGUGCCAGCAGCCGCGGUAAUACGUAGGGGGCAAGCGUUAUCCGGAUUUAUUGGGUUAAAAGGGUGCGUAGGCGGAUCGUUAAGUCAGUGGUCAAAUUGAGGGGCUCAACCCCUUCCCGCCAUGGAAACUGGCGUUCUUGAGUGGAAGAGAAGUAUGCGGAAUGCGUGGUGUAGCGGUGAAAUGCAUAGAUAUCACGCAGAACCCCGAUUGCGAAGGCAGCAUGCCGGCUUCCGACUGACGCUGAAGCACGAAAGCGUGGGGAUCGAACAGGAUUAGAUACCCGAGUAGUC
RNAcentral lists this ribosomal RNA (454 nucleotides) under uncultured bacterium. RNAcentral describes it as "partial 16S ribosomal RNA". It matches the Rfam family "Bacterial small subunit ribosomal RNA", at positions 339 to 795 of the family's 1533-position model. The record is from RNAcentral.